This is a long non-coding RNA of Leopardus geoffroyi (Geoffroy's cat), 919 nucleotides long. RefSeq lists it as uncharacterized. The transcript is spliced from 5 exons. The record is from RefSeq and is a predicted model, not a curated record. Lineage: Eukaryota; Metazoa; Chordata; Mammalia; Carnivora; Felidae.
UUGGCAGGGUCAGAGGUGAGUACACCCAUCAUCUUUAUGUGCUUAUUCACUCAUUUAAAUAUGAAUGUACUCUGUGCAUAGGCCAGAGUCUAUGGAUUGUGGGAGCCACACAAAGAGGCUCACGGCUUUGCUAGGAACUGAUUAACAAGGAGUCUAACAGGAAAUAGAAAGGCAGCAGAAUUCAGGCUUUGGCCUAAGAACCACCAUGGGCAAAUCCUUCCUCUGCCGGGCACCUUCUAUGACCUUGGCAGCUCCAAAUGACCCUGGGUGAUGUUUGACGAGCUCCUGUGAACUUCGACAAAUGGGGUCCUGACCACAGCUCUGUGAGAAAACAGUGGGUGAUCUGAGAGAGAGAGCUGAACCUGGCUGAGAAAAACAAGCACCCAAUGUGACUCGCCCCUGGUUUAGAAUGGCAGGCCUACAGGCACACAGCGCAUCGAGGUGAGGCUGUUUUGACUCUGACUUCAGGGCCCUUGAGAGAGCCGCUUGACUUCCCUGGGAGGAGUGUCUCGUUCGGAAUCAUUUUUUCCAGGAGUGAACUCAGAAAUAGAGACCGCCUGUUUGCAGCAACAGAGAAGAGAGAACCAAACAUGCGAAGAGACCCAAAGGUUUUUUGGCAGGGGUAAAAGAUCUCUCCGUUCUCAUUUAUUUUAUGAAGAAUGGCACAUUGGUGGGCAUGAGGGCUGCAUAAAGGGUGCUUCAUAAAGAACAGCGAGAGGAAGAAACUGACAAGAAAGGACCUCCAUUCAAUUCAGUCAAGAGAACUGUGGGUUCGCACAGAAUAAGCUGUCCUUGGAGAAUGGAUUUGCCCUGUUUAAUUGUUACACCAGUUCUACCUUUUGUGAGCAGGGUGCCCUUGGACAAAUUAACCCCUCUGAGAGUUAGUUUCUUCGUCAGUAAAAUAAAGAUAAUUUUUAAG